Molecule: small RNA, 2698 nt
Filed under: Pan troglodytes (chimpanzee)
Lineage: Eukaryota; Metazoa; Chordata; Mammalia; Primates; Hominidae
Description: processed transcript
Source: RNAcentral
CAUUAAUCCUCCACUCAACCUUCAAGAAACUCAAGUCACUAUAGAAGAAAUCACUCCUCUUGUCCCCCCACAAUCAGGAGAUAAAGGGCAAGAAGAUCUCACAAGCUAUUUUCUUGAAGCACUUCUAAAAUACAUAGUCAUUCAGGUAAAAAGUUUAGAAUGGAAGAACAAAGAAAACCAAGAAAGGGGAUUUUCAUUUUUGUUUUCACAUUUUAAGAAAUAUUACUUGCCUUAUAUUUUUCCAAACAUCUGUAAGGAAAACAGUUUAUAUCAUCCUAUACUUGACAUCCCGCAGAUGAGACCAAAGCCACAUUAUGUCAUGAUAAAGAAAGAUGCUGAAACCAAUGAAGCAAUCUAUUGUACAAAGGAGCCUUUCAUUAAGGCUCGUGUUAUUGUCAUUCGUUGGCUGGUUUCUUUCUGGCUGGAGCCAAAACCACAUACAGGACCUCAUAUUCCUGGGAUGGAAGGUGAAGUCUUGCCAAAGAAUAUUCAGAGAGCAGCUGCUAGUUUAGUAUCCAGAGAAGAAAGCAAAAAUGAUAAUGCUGAUAAAGCAGACAGAACUACAGAACCCGAACAGUCUCAUUCCAAUACAAGCACUCUCACGGAGCGAGAACCUAGCUCAUCUAGUCUCUGUAGUAUUGAUGAAGAACAUCUCACAGACAUUGAAAUAGUUCGCAGAGUUUUUUCUUCUAAAAGGAGUAAUGUAAACUUUGUGACAGAGAUAUUUCGUCAGGCAUUUUUAUUACCAAUUUGUGAAGCAGCAGCUAUGAGAAAAGUGGUAAAAGUAUAUCAAGAAUGGAUCCAACAAGAGGAAAAACCUUUGUUCAUGCAAGAGCCUGAAGAAAUUGUGAUCACUUCUUCAGACCUCCCUUGCAUUGAAAAUGUCACAGACCAUGAUAUUUCAAUGGAAGAAGGAGAAAAAAGAGAAGAGGAAAAUGGGACCAAUACUGCUGAUCAUGUUCGAAAUUCCAGUUGGGCAAAAAACGGCUCCUACCAAGGUGCUCUUCAUAACGCCUCUGAAGAAGCCACAGAACAAAACAUACGAGCUGGUACCCAGGCAGUUUUGCAGGUGUUCAUUAUAAACUCAUCAAAUAUAUUUCUUCUUGAACCUGCAAAUGAAAUAAAAAAUCUUCUGGAUGAACACACAGAUAUGUGUAAACGCAUUCUUAACAUUUAUCGGUACAUGGUUGUACAAGUAUCAAUGGACAAAAAGACUUGGGAACAGAUGCUGCUUGUGUUGCUCAGAGUCACGGAAUCUGUACUGAAGAUGCCAUCACAAGCUUUUCUACAGUUCCAAGGGAAAAAAAAUAUGACCUUGGCAGGUCGACUUGCAGGACCACUUUUCCAGACCCUUAUAGUUGCCUGGAUCAAAGCAAACCUAAAUGUGUACAUCUCCCGAGAACUUUGGGAUGACUUACUGUCAGUAUUGUCAUCGUUGACCUAUUGGGAAGAGUUGGCCACUGAGUGGUCACUGACUAUGGAGACAUUAACUAAAGUUUUAGCUAGGAAUUUAUAUAGUUUGGAUCUCAGUGAUUUACCAUUGGAUAAGCUGAGUGAACAGAAACAAAAAAAGCACAAAGGGAAAGGAGUUGGACAUGAAUUUCAGAAAGUUUCAGUUGACAAGUCAUUUUCUAGAGGAUGGAGUCGUGAUCAGCCUGGCCAAGCCCCAAUGAGACAGAGGAGUGCAACAACCACUGGUUCUCCAGGAACCGAAAAGGCGAGGAGUAUAGUACGGCAAAAAACUGUCGGCUAAUGAAGAAAAGCCAUAUGAUCACAUCAAUAGAUGUAGAAAAAACAUUUGGCAAAAUCCAACACCCAUUUAGGAUAAAAACUCUCAGCAAAGUAGGAAUAGGGAGAACUUCCUCAACUUUAUAAAUCUAUUAAAAAAUAAAAACACAGGACAACCUACCUCUAGCAUCAUACUUAAUGGUGAGAAACUAGGUUUUUUUCUGCUGAGAUCCACAACAAGACAAGGAUAUCUCACUAUUCCUGUAAGACAGGAAAAGGAAAUAAAAGGUCUACAGACUGAGAAGAAAUAAAUAAAACUAUCUUUGUAGAUGACAUGAUUAUUUAUGUGGAAAAUUUCAAAGUGACAACCUCCUGAAACUAAUAAGCAAUUAUAGCAAGGUUAUAGGAUGCCAGAUUAAUAUAUAAAAGUCAGUCGCUCCUUCCAUACCAGCAAUGAACAACUGGAAUUUGAAACUGAAAGCACAGUACCAUUUACAUUAGCAUCAAAAAUCUCCAAAACAAUUAGGUAUAAAUCUAGCAAAAUAUUUACAAGAUCUAUAUGAGGAAAACUAUGAAACUUUGAUGAAAGAAAUCAAAGAAUAAAUAAGUUGAGAGGUCUAGUUCAUGUACAUGGAUAGAAAAACUCACUAUUGGCAAGAUGUCAUUUUUUCCCUACUUAAUCUGUAGAUUCAACACAAUCUCAGUUGAUUUUGUUCUUAACAAGUUAUUUUGUGGAUAUUGACAGAAUCUAAAAUUUAUAUAGAAAGGCAGAGCAUGAGCAACAUGGCAAAACCUGUCUCUACAAAAAAUACAAAAACUAGUUGGAUGUGGUGUCAUGUGCCUGUAGUCCCAGCUACUUGGGAGCCUGAGAUGGGAGGAUUGCUUAAGUUCAGGAGGUCAAGGCUGCAGUGAGCCAUGAUUGUGCCCCUGCACUCUCUAGCCUGGGUAACACAGCAAGAUCUUGUAUCAG